Molecule: transfer RNA, 73 nt
Filed under: Stegodyphus mimosarum
Lineage: Eukaryota; Metazoa; Arthropoda; Arachnida; Araneae; Eresidae
Rfam family: tRNA
About the family: Transfer RNA (tRNA) molecules are approximately 80 nucleotides in length. Their secondary structure includes four short double-helical elements and three loops (D, anti-codon, and T loops).
Source: Rfam by way of RNAcentral
GCCUUCGUGAUGUAAUGAUCAGAACACUUGACUCGUAUUCAAGAAGUCCAAGGUUCGAGUCCCGGCGAAGGCA